Molecule: long non-coding RNA, 1701 nt
Organism: Arachis duranensis
Lineage: Eukaryota; Viridiplantae; Streptophyta; Magnoliopsida; Fabales; Fabaceae
Exons: 7
Source: RefSeq, a predicted model, not a curated record
UUCACUUUCACCCAAACAGAGGGAGUUCUCAUCGCCGAAACAGAUUCAGAGGGAAGGGAGAUCUCAUCGCCGAAACCCUAAGUUCACUGUCACUGCCGUCGCAUCCUUAGGUCAUCUCCACCCUCCAAAUCGGCGCCUCUGCCUCACAUGACAUCUUCCUCCGCCUCCUCCCCUCCCACUUUUCAAUUUCUGCAACCUCCACAUAGAGCGCCUCUCCAUUUCCAAUUUCAGUCGAUGUGAUUCGUUGGACUUGCAGGAGGUGGAAUUGCUCGAGAUGGACUUGAAUUGGUGGGAGAAAGAUACGUGAUACCUGCCUGUUGUGCAAGCAACAACAUCAAAUUUUGUAAUUCGGAUGACUUGAAUGCCACCAGCGGAAACUUUGGUUUUCGUGGGGAAGCUUUAGCUUCCAUUUCCGAAGUCUCUUUGUUAGAAAUUGUGACAAGAACAUACGGAAGGUCUACUGGAUAUAGAAAGGUAUUGAAGACUUGUGCAUUGAAAGUGUACACUAGCUGAAAAUUAAAGGAUGUUACGCAAUUAUACAAGCAAAUUGUUGUGCAGCCACAACCAUCAUAUCAAAGUCUUCUUCUACCCUUCACAGCUAAGGUUCUGUCCCUGUCCCGUCCGCUAACUUCUGGUGUGUUUCUGUAUUUGUUUUGCAGACUUUACAGUAUGUCUGUAUCCUUGUGACUACAAAUUUAGAUAGUGUAAUUAUGGGAUAGUAGAUGAUAUGCCGAGGUUUGAAAAAUAUUCAAUACCAUAAACAUUUGAAUUGUUGGCCUUAACAUUGUUAGAUGUUAACUCACAGUUCGUAUGCAUGUGGCCUAAUUCAUAUGCUUCUGAGUCAAUUGGCUAAUAGGUUUGAGCAUCUGAAUUCAUGGAAUACUAAAAAUGAGUUCAAAAACAAGAAGAAAAGUAGGUUUCAACCAUGUCCAGCUUAUAUCUUGAAUAUAAGUUGCCUUCAUUCUUUCUAUGAUUUGACAUUUGAAUCAUCAAAAACUUGGGUACAAUUCAAGGUAAUUCUUUUGCCCGUUUUCUUUACUCAUUUUUCUUAUCAUGUUUGUCAAUCAUUGUUGCUGUAUGGGCUCAUAAUUCAUAGUUGCUUGUUGAAGGUCCAAAAGUUAAUUUUAUAGGGUUCUAGUCCAAAUUCAGAACAUUUAUUAGAGAUGUGUAGAAUUUCUUUUUUGGGAUUCCUAUAUUAUUGUCUCAUUCAGUGGGAAUUGUCUUAUCACAACUUGGUACAUUAGAUAAAUAUUUUUUUUUUUUGCUCAACAUUUUUAUAUCCUGCAAAUUAAGGAUUGGGAUUCUAUACUCAACUCCAUUGAGAAGGUCAUAAAAGAAUGCUGAGAGGAAAACAUAGAUUGUGGAGAGUCCUUCAAUCAGUCCACUUACAUGGUACAUGAAGGUCAUCCGUGGAAAGAUCUUAACAUUCUUCCAACAGAAGCAGGCAAGCUAACCGAAGAUGAAUAGUAUCAAUCUGACAGGGAAGAUGUUAGAACCUCUCUUGGUUACUUGUGUCAAGGGACUGAAAUAUUGGGAGAAACAAAAUUCAUUUACUUUUGAGCAUUAGUUAUGUGCUAAUCAUUGAUGUAACAUAGAUUUGUAGUAUUUAUGUUAUUUAAAUUUGUAUUAUGCUUUAUUACUUUUCAAGAGAAAUUUGCAUAUAAAUAUUUUGAAUUUAAUGAAAUAUUUCAAUUUGUAGUA